This 1002-nucleotide long non-coding RNA is filed under the name Fragaria vesca (wild strawberry). RNAcentral describes it as "long non-coding RNA (FVES_LNC004109)". The record is from RNAcentral. Lineage: Eukaryota; Viridiplantae; Streptophyta; Magnoliopsida; Rosales; Rosaceae.
GUACAUUGAUGCGUCUUAUUGUACUUAGAUGGGAACUCCAUCUCUUAACACAUAUUUGUCAUCUUGCUUUAGACAAAACAACGGAUCUCUCUUUAGAGCAAAGACCUUGACUAAUCAUGGAAGUAUAUGUAGGCCUCACUAGUUAUAGAGCGCCUAAGCCGAUUGAUCAUCAAUACAGUCAUCUUAUCGAGACUGUGUCUUCCCAAGAUCUUUUUCUUCGGAUGUUGAUACAUAUUGACAUCUCUUGAUCCAUCAAGAGUCCAUGUAAAUCCGGAAUGAACACGCAAAGGCAUAAUUCACCAUAUCCCUUCCAAAUCAAGUAGAAUCCAUGUGCGUUUCAAUAGCUUUAGCAAACGCGUGCUACUGUGGUCUGGAGCCACUUGAUUCAGAUGAAUGAAGUCCGUUUAAAACCUUCAUGUAUAUCUCUGAUCCCGUAGAGAUGUUAUUAUGACCACAUCCAUAGGCUGCAUGUUCAGUUAUUCGGAAACUACCAAACUGACAAAGUAGUGGAGUUCAAUGACAUCCAUUACGAGAGCAUAUCUCAUCGUAGUUGAUCCUAGUGCGUGUUAGUGAGAGACCUUGCGCCAUAAGGUGAGUCUAAGCUCUUGUUCUCACUACGCUAUCUAACAAAGGCAUAGUUGAUAGGGUUUAGCUUGCGGUGUCGGCAUCACCUGCCCAAUGACCUAUCUCUUUAUUAAUGCUGGAUCGCAUCUUUCCAUUAGGUCAAUCAACUAAGUUGAUAUCCAUCAACGAAUGGUGGUUUGAUAGUAGACUCAUUAUCCCACGUCCUCAUGUACACUAGUGUAAUACUUGUAGAGAUCUCUAUAUGAAUUGGAUUUGACAUUGAGGCGUCCCCCAACGAUAAUCACAAUUCAGACUUCAUGAGACGGAUUUGAGUAUCACUGAUCAAUGGAUCAGGUUGUGCCAAGCUCGCUUUCUUUCUAGUGCAAGACAAUAUCGAACCUAAGAGCCUCCCUCCUUUUAGGAGCCACACGGCCUUGU